AGUGAACGCUGGCGGCAGGCCUAAUACAUGCAAGUCGAACGGCAGCACAGCAGAGCUUGCUCUGUGGGUGGCGAGUGGCGACGGGUGAGGAAUACAUGGGAAUCUGCCCAGUCGUGGGGGAUAACGUAUGGAAACGUACGCUAAUACCGCAUGCGCCCUACGGGGGAAAGCCGGGACCGCAAGGCCUGGCGCGAUUGGAUGAGCCCAUGUUCGAUUAGCUAGUUGGCGGGGUAAAGGCCCACCAAGGCGACGAUCGAUAGCUGGUCUGAGAGGAUGAUCAGCCACACUGGAACUGAGACACGGUCCAGACUCCUACGGGAGGCAGCAGUAGGGAAUAUUGGACAAUGGGGGCAACCCUGAUCCAGCCAUGCCGCGUGAGUGAAGAAGGCCCUCGGGUUGUAAAGCUCUUUUGUCCGGAAAGAAAAGCAAUCGGUUAAUACCCGGUUGUUCUGACGGUACCGGAAGAAUAAGCACCGGCUAACUUCGUGCCAGC
Molecule: ribosomal RNA, 493 nt
Filed under: uncultured bacterium
Lineage: Bacteria
Description: bacterial SSU rRNA
Rfam family: Bacterial small subunit ribosomal RNA
Source: RNAcentral